GACGAACGCUGGCGGCGUGCUUAACACAUGCAAGUCGAACGAUGAACCCGGAGCUUGCUCCGGCGGAUUAGUGGCGAACGGGUGAGUAACACGUGAGUAACCUGCCCUUGACUCUGGGAUAACUGCGGGAAACUGUAGCUAAUACCGGAUACGACCCUCGGCGGCAUCGCCAGGGGGUGGAAAGAAUUUCGGUCAAGGAUGGACUCGCGGCCUAUCAGCUAGUUGGUGAGGUAACGGCUCACCAAGGCGACGACGGGUAGCCGGCCUGAGAGGGUGACCGGCCACACUGGGACUGAGACACGGCCCAGACUCCUACGGGAGGCAGCAAUGGGGGAUAUUGCACAAUGGGCGCAAGCCUGAUGCAGCAACGCCGCGUGAGGGAUGACGGCCUUCGGGUUGUAAACCUCUUUUAGUAGGGAAGAAGCGAAAGUGACGGUACCUGCAGAAAAAGCACCGGCUAACUACGUGCCAGCCGCCGCCGUAA
RNAcentral lists this ribosomal RNA (484 nucleotides) under uncultured bacterium. RNAcentral's name for it is "partial 16S ribosomal RNA". It matches the Rfam family "Bacterial small subunit ribosomal RNA", at positions 28 to 523 of the family's 1533-position model. The record is from RNAcentral.